This 73-nucleotide transfer RNA is filed under the name Stegodyphus mimosarum. It matches the Rfam family "tRNA". Rfam says of the family: Transfer RNA (tRNA) molecules are approximately 80 nucleotides in length. Their secondary structure includes four short double-helical elements and three loops (D, anti-codon, and T loops). Lineage: Eukaryota; Metazoa; Arthropoda; Arachnida; Araneae; Eresidae. The record is from Rfam by way of RNAcentral.
GCCUUCGUGGUGUAGUGGUCAGCACGCUCGGCGCGUAUUCGACAGGUCCGUGGUUCGAGUCCCGGCGAGGGCA